UAUGGGUAUCCAUCGAGAUCAAUCUCAAACUGAUCUCUCCUCAUAGAAGACUCUUCUUUUCAAAAAGAAUCUUAGUCUUGAACACUUUGAUCAAUACCUUGAUCUAGAUUGUGAGAUCAACUCCUUGAUCAUCAGCUUUCUUCUUCUUCUCCUCGAUCUUCACUCUUGAAGUCACAAAGCACUGCCUCUUGGCAUGUGAA
Molecule: long non-coding RNA, 200 nt
Filed under: Elaeis guineensis (African oil palm)
Lineage: Eukaryota; Viridiplantae; Streptophyta; Magnoliopsida; Arecales; Arecaceae
Description: long non-coding RNA (EGUI_LNC061639)
Source: RNAcentral